UGAACGCUAGCGACAGGCCUAACACAUGCAAGUCGAGGGGCAGCACAAGGAGCAAUCUGAGGUGGCGACCGGCGCACGGGUGAGUAACACGUAUGCAACCUGCCUGUAAGCGGGGAAUAACCCGUUGAAAGACGGACUAAUACCGCAUAAUACUAAAUUACUGCAUGGUAAUUUAUUUAAACAUUUAUGGCUUACAGAUGGGCAUGCGCAUGAUUAGCUAGUUGGAGAGGUAACGGCUCCCCAAGGCAACGAUCAUUAGGGGUUCUGAGAGGAAGGUCCCCCACACUGGUACUGAGACACGGACCAGACUCCUACGGGAGGCAGCAGUGAGGAAUAUUGGUCAAUGGACGAGAGUCUGAACCAGCCAAGUCGCGUGCAGGAAGAAUGUUCCCUAUGGAUUGUAAACUGCUUUUGCAGGGGAAUAAAGUGCAUCACGUGUGAUGUUUUGUAUGUACUCUGCGAAUAAGGAUCGGCUAACUCCGUGCCAGCCGCUGC
This 495-nucleotide ribosomal RNA is filed under the name uncultured bacterium. RNAcentral describes it as "bacterial SSU rRNA". It matches the Rfam family "Bacterial small subunit ribosomal RNA", at positions 30 to 518 of the family's 1533-position model. The record is from RNAcentral.